RNAcentral lists this ribosomal RNA (446 nucleotides) under Bacillus sp. SW1-25. RNAcentral's name for it is "bacterial SSU rRNA". It matches the Rfam family "Bacterial small subunit ribosomal RNA", at positions 105 to 537 of the family's 1533-position model. The record is from RNAcentral. Lineage: Bacteria; Bacillati; Bacillota; Bacilli; Caryophanales; Bacillaceae.
GGUGAGUAACACGUGGGUAACCUGCCUGUAAGACUGGGAUAACUCCGGGAAACCGGAGCUAAUACCGGAUAGUUCCUUGAACCGCAUGGUUCAAGGAUGAAAGACGGUUUCGGCUGUCACUUACAGAUGGACCCGCGGCGCAUUAGCUAGUUGGUGAGGUAACGGCUCACCAAGGCGACGAUGCGUAGCCGACCUGAGAGGGUGAUCGGCCACACUGGGACUGAGACACGGCCCAGACUCCUACGGGAGGCAGCAGUAGGGAAUCUUCCGCAAUGGACGAAAGUCUGACGGAGCAACGCCGCGUGAGUGAUGAAGGUUUUCGGAUCGUAAAGCUCUGUUGUUAGGGAAGAACAAGUGCAAGAGUAACUGCUUGCACCUUGACGGUACCUAACCAGAAAGCCACGGCUAACUACGUGCCAGCAGCCGCGGUAAUACGUAGGUGGCAA